This 234-nucleotide long non-coding RNA is filed under the name Pelobates cultripes (western spadefoot toad). The record is from RNAcentral. Lineage: Eukaryota; Metazoa; Chordata; Amphibia; Anura; Pelobatidae.
ACCUGUUUCAAUGGUCUAUUACUGCUGGGACAGUGAAAUAAUAACAGGGGAAGGCUAGUGCACUGCAACUACAAGAAGUUGGAGACUGUCUACUGCUCUGCCAGGAGAAUUAGAAGACUGUCAUUUAAUGUUCAGCUCCCUGCAGAUUCUGGAACUUUCUGCAGGAGUGUGAAUGAGCUCUUGUAUCCUGUCUGCAGAAGGAAGAGAGAGGAUUGCCAUUGCUGUUCUGCUGCC